UAGGGAAUCUUCGGCAAUGGGGGGAACCCUGACCGAGCAACGCCGCGUGAGUGAAGAAGGUUUUCGGAUCGUAAAGCUCUGUUGUUAAGGAAGAACGAGUGUGAGAAUGGAAAGUUCAUGCUGUGACGGUACUUAACCAGAAAGGGUCGGCUAGCUACGUGCCAGCAGCCGCGGUAAUACGUAGGUCCCGAGCGUUGUCCGGAUUUAUUGGGCGUAAAGCGAGCGCAGGCGGUUAGAAAAGUCUGAAGUGAAAGGCAGUGGCUCAACCAUUGUAGGCUUUGGAAACUGUUUAACUUGAGUGCAGAAGGGGAGAGUGGAAUUCCAUGUGUAGCGGUGAAAUGCGUAGAUAUAUGGAGGAACACCGGUGGCGAAAGCGGCUCUCUGGUCUGUAACUGACGCUGAGGCUCGAAAGCGUGGGGAGCGAACAGG
RNAcentral lists this ribosomal RNA (429 nucleotides) under Bacteroidota bacterium. RNAcentral's name for it is "Bacteroidetes bacterium partial 16S ribosomal RNA". It matches the Rfam family "Bacterial small subunit ribosomal RNA", at positions 355 to 776 of the family's 1533-position model. The record is from RNAcentral. Lineage: Bacteria; Pseudomonadati; Bacteroidota.